AAACAUGUCUUUAUGAAAAUAAUAUAAAGUCUGAUCUGCUCCAUGAAAAUUUUAAAUAGCUGCAGUAUAUUAACUGUACAAAGGUAGCAUAAUCAAUAGUUUUUUAAAUGAAAGCUGGAAUGAAGGAUUUUAUAAGGUAAUUAUUGUCUCAAAUUUAAUAAAAUUAAAAUUUUUUUUUUAGUAAAAAUACUGAAAAAAAUUUAAAAGACGAGAAGACCCUAUAGAUUUUUAUAUUUUAUUUUAAAAUAAUUUAAAUUAAAAAAUUAAAUUUUAAUUGAAAAAUAUUUGAUUGGGGAAAUUAUUAAAUUUAAAAAAUUUUAAUAUAUUAAAACCUAUAAUUAUAGAAUUAUUGAUCUUAAUUAUUUAAAUUAAUAGAAUAAAAUACCUUAGGGAUAACAGCGUAAUUUUUUUAGAGAGAUCAUAUUAAUAAAAAAGUUUGCGACCUCGAUGUUGAAUUAAGAUAAAAUUUUUAUGAAGAAGUAAAAAAUUUUUGGUCUGUUCGACCAUUAAAAUCUUACGUGAUC
This 524-nucleotide ribosomal RNA is filed under the name Hemigaster taiwanus. RNAcentral describes it as "partial 16S large subunit ribosomal RNA". The stretch from base 392 to 524 matches the Rfam family "Archaeal large subunit ribosomal RNA", at positions 2542 to 2674 of the family's 2987-position model. The record is from RNAcentral. Lineage: Eukaryota; Metazoa; Arthropoda; Insecta; Hymenoptera; Ichneumonidae.